This 406-nucleotide ribosomal RNA is filed under the name uncultured bacterium. RNAcentral's name for it is "partial 16S ribosomal RNA". It matches the Rfam family "Bacterial small subunit ribosomal RNA", at positions 30 to 526 of the family's 1533-position model. The record is from RNAcentral.
AUUGAACGCUGGCGGCAUGCCUAACACAUGCAAGUCGAGCGAGCGGCGGACGGGUGAGUAAUGUCUGGGAACCUGCCUGAUGGAGGUGGAUAACUCCUGGAGACGGUAGCUCAUACCGCAUACCAUCAGAUGUGCCCCGAUGGGAUUAGCUAGUGGGUGGGGUAACGGCUCACCCAGGCGACGAUCCCUAGCUGGUCUGAGAGGAUGACCAGCCACACUGGAACUGAGACACGGUCCAGACUCCUACGGGAGGCAGCAGUGGGGAAUAUUGCACAAUGGGCGAAAGCCUGAUGCAGCCAUGCCGCGUGUGUGAAGAAGGCCUUCGGGUUGUAAAGCACUUUCAGCGGGGAGGCGUUACCCGCAGAAGAAGCACCGGCUAACUCCGUGCCAGCAGCCGCGGUAAUUC